UACGAAGGGGGCUAGCGUUGCUCGGAAUCACUGGGCGUAAAGGGUGCGUAGGCGGGUCUUUAAGUCAGGGGUGAAAUCCUGGAGCUCAACUCCAGAACUGCCUUUGAUACUGAGAAGCUUGAGUCCGGGAGGGGUGAGUGGAACUGCGAGUGUAGAGGUGAAAUUCGUAGAUAUUCGCAAGAACACCAGUGGCGAAGGCGGCUCACUGGCCCGGUACUGACGCUGAGGUGCGAAAGCGUGGGGAGCAAACAGG
RNAcentral lists this ribosomal RNA (253 nucleotides) under uncultured bacterium. RNAcentral's name for it is "partial 16S ribosomal RNA". It matches the Rfam family "Bacterial small subunit ribosomal RNA", at positions 524 to 776 of the family's 1533-position model. The record is from RNAcentral.